This 253-nucleotide ribosomal RNA is filed under the name uncultured bacterium. RNAcentral's name for it is "partial 16S ribosomal RNA". It matches the Rfam family "Bacterial small subunit ribosomal RNA", at positions 524 to 776 of the family's 1533-position model. The record is from RNAcentral.
GACAGAGGGGGCAAGCGUUGCUCGGAAUCACUGGGCGUAAAGGGCGCGUAGGCGGGAUGGCAAGUCGGUCGUGAAAUCCUUCGGCUCAACCGAAGAACGUCGGCCGAUACUGCCGUUCUUGAGGGAUGCAGAGGAGAUUGGAAUUCCCGGUGUAGCGGUGAAAUGCGCAGAUAUCAGGAGGAACACCGGUGGCGAAGGCGCCACUCUGGGCCGGUACUGACGCUGAGGAGCGAAAGCGUGGGUAGCAAACAGG